UCACUUACCCCCCACUGGAGACACAGCACUGCAAUAUUACCCCAGAGCCUCCAACGGAUCCCAGGGGUCGUACCCCCCGUACACCUCCGGGUCUGAAAUGCGGAUGCCUCCUCCAAGAUGGCCGCCGGGCGUCCCACGGCUCCCUCUGCCGCCGCCGGCCCCGGCGAUCCCGGAGAGCCUACGAGUGCCGGGGCAGCAGGAGAUGUCCUCCGGGCGGGUCCCGCGAUGAUAAGGGCUGUAGAGGUGCACAUGGUUUUGCCCAACUGCUACCAAAAUUCCUGCUGCGAUCAACUUGGAAGUACCCCCUAUGUGGACUCCUGGCAAGAAUUUGGGCAGAAUUACCUGUUUAAGCCCUCUUCAUAAGAGAUAUUUGCUCUUAUGGUUUGAAGGAUCACACAUAUCAGGACUCACAGCAGUGAAUCAAAUUGGUGAGAAAAGACACAAGUUUCAGCAAGUGUUAUCAAGCUGAGCGCCGCACAAUAUGAACUUUUUCACACAACUCUUAUUUCCAUCUAACAACCCCACAGUUUUGGGUAAUUGUUGCUCAUUGACUUAAGUACAUAAUUUUCAGGUUUCAAAGUGGGAACAGACGUACUAAAGCAAUAUAAAUAUAGUUGCACUACAUGGUUUCAAACCAACAUACAUUAUUUCUAUC
Pseudophryne corroboree (corroboree frog) is the source of this 655-nucleotide long non-coding RNA. RefSeq lists it as uncharacterized. NCBI's taxonomy places the organism in Eukaryota, Metazoa, Chordata, Amphibia, Anura, Myobatrachidae. The record is from RefSeq and is a predicted model, not a curated record. The transcript is spliced from 3 exons.